Molecule: transfer RNA, 72 nt
Filed under: Episymploce forficula
Lineage: Eukaryota; Metazoa; Arthropoda; Insecta; Blattodea; Blattellidae
Description: tRNA-Ile
Source: RNAcentral
AAUGAAGUGCCUGAUUAAAGGGUUAUCGUGAUAGGAUAAAUUAUGUAAUUUAUCAUUACCUUCAUUAUAAUA